CCCUUAGAUGUUCUGGGCCGCACGCGCGCUACACUGACGAAUGCAACGAGCUUAUAACCUUGGCCGAAAGGUCUGGGUAAUCUCCAAAUUUCGUCGUGAUGGGGAUAGAUUAUUGCAAUUAUUAAUCUUCAACGAGGAAUGCCUAGUAAGCGCUAGUCAUCAGCUUGCGUUGAUUACGUCCCUGCCCUUUGUACACACCGCCCGUCGCUCCUACCGAUUGAAUGGUCCGGUGAAGCGUUCGGACCGUGGCCUUUGGACGGUUCGCCGUCUGUUGGCUGCGGGAAGUUCGUUAAACCUUAUCAUUUAGAGGAAGGAGAAGUCGUAACA
This 327-nucleotide ribosomal RNA is filed under the name uncultured eukaryote. RNAcentral describes it as "partial 18S ribosomal RNA". It matches the Rfam family "Eukaryotic small subunit ribosomal RNA", at positions 1470 to 1796 of the family's 1831-position model. The record is from RNAcentral.